RNAcentral lists this ribosomal RNA (770 nucleotides) under Micrococcus endophyticus. RNAcentral describes it as "bacterial SSU rRNA". It matches the Rfam family "Bacterial small subunit ribosomal RNA", at positions 133 to 915 of the family's 1533-position model. The record is from RNAcentral. Lineage: Bacteria; Bacillati; Actinomycetota; Actinomycetes; Micrococcales; Micrococcaceae.
UGACUCUGGGAUAAGCCCGGGAAACUGGGUCUAAUACCGGAUAGGAACGUCCACCGCAUGGUGGUUGUUGGAAAGAUUUAUCGGUCAUGGAUGGACUCGCGGCCUAUCAGCUUGUUGGUGAGGUAAUGGCUCACCAAGGCGACGACGGGUAGCCGGCCUGAGAGGGUGACCGGCCACACUGGGACUGAGACACGGCCCAGACUCCUACGGGAGGCAGCAGUGGGGAAUAUUGCACAAUGGGCGAAAGCCUGAUGCAGCGACGCCGCGUGAGGGAUGACGGCCUUCGGGUUGUAAACCUCUUUCAGUAGGGAAGAAGCGAAAGUGACGGUACCUGCAGAAGAAGCACCGGCUAACUACGUGCCAGCAGCCGCGGUAAUACGUAGGGUGCGAGCGUUAUCCGGAAUUAUUGGGCGUAAAGAGCUCGUAGGCGGUUUGUCGCGUCUGUCGUGAAAGUCCGGGGCUUAACCCCGGAUCUGCGGUGGGUACGGGCAGACUAGAGUGCAGUAGGGGAGACUGGAAUUCCUGGUGUAGCGGUGGAAUGCGCAGAUAUCAGGAGGAACACCGAUGGCGAAGGCAGGUCUCUGGGCUGUAACUGACGCUGAGGAGCGAAAGCAUGGGGAGCGAACAGGAUUAGAUACCCUGGUAGUCCAUGCCGUAAACGUUGGGCACUAGGUGUGGGGACCAUUCCACGGUUUCCGCGCCGCAGCUAACGCAUUAAGUGCCCCGCCUGGGGAGUACGGCCGCAAGGCUAAAACUCAAAGGAAUUGACG